This 406-nucleotide ribosomal RNA is filed under the name uncultured bacterium. RNAcentral's name for it is "partial 16S ribosomal RNA". It matches the Rfam family "Bacterial small subunit ribosomal RNA", at positions 28 to 526 of the family's 1533-position model. The record is from RNAcentral.
GAUGAACGCUAGCUACAGGCUUAACACAUGCAAGUCGAGGGACCGGCGCACGGGUGAGUAACACGUAUCCAACCUGCCCUUUACUCGGGGAUAGCCUUUCGAAAGAAAGAUUAAUACCCGAUGUUAAGGCUGGGGAUGCGUUCCCUUAGGUUGUUGGUGAGGUAACGGCUAACCAAGCCUUCGAUGGAUACGGGUUCUGAGAGGAAGGUCCCCCACAUUGGAACUGAGACACGGUCCAAACGCCUACGUGAGGUAGCAGUGAGGAAUAUUGGUCAAUGGGCGUCAGCCUGAACCAGCCAAGUAGCGUGAAGGAUGAAGGCUUAUGGGUCGUAAACUUCUUUUAUAUAAGAAUAGGUAUUAUAUGAAUAAGGAUCGGCUAACUCCGUGCCAGCAGCCGCGGUAAUUC